This 462-nucleotide ribosomal RNA is filed under the name uncultured bacterium. RNAcentral's name for it is "partial 16S ribosomal RNA". It matches the Rfam family "Bacterial small subunit ribosomal RNA", at positions 338 to 795 of the family's 1533-position model. The record is from RNAcentral.
CCUACGGGUGGCAGCAGUGAGGAAUAUUGGUCAAUGGACGCAAGUCUGAACCAGCCAAGUCGCGUGCAGGAUGACGGCCCUCCGGGUUGUAAACUGCUUUUAGUUGGGAAUAAAAGGGGGCUCGUGAGCCCCGUAUUGUAUGUACCAUCAGAAAAAGGACCGGCUAAUUCCGUGCCAGCAGCCGCGGUAAUACGGAAGGUUCGGGCGUGAUCCGGGUUUAUUGGGUUUAAAGGGGGCGUAGGGCGGCUUUUAAGGCAGCUGUGAAAGUCCGGGGCUCAACCGUGGAAUUGCAGUUGAAACUGGAGGCCUUGAGUGCACACAGGGAUGCCGGAAUUCAUGGUGUAGCGGUGAAAUGCUUAGAUAUCAUGAAGAACUCCGAUUGCGAAGGCAGUUCACUGGACUGCAACUGACACUGAGGCUCGAAAGUGUGGGUAUCAAACAGGAUUAGAUACCCCAGUAGUC